UUUACAUUAAAUACAGACAGGACAAUUAAGGACCCUUCUCUAGAGUUUUCCAUUGCAUGAACAGUUUUCAAGGAUGAAAUCGCCGGACUUCCCCUCUCCACUGGGGAUGGCGGGCGGGGCAUGUCAGAGUCGAACUGACUAAAGCCUCCUGUCGCUCAACAACCAACAAACAACGUCCAAACCUCGCAUGAGAGACAGAACUCAUGAAAAGGCAAAGGGGGGAAAGUGAAGCGUUUAGUGCGGAGCACAUCUCUCCCAUCACCCUCCCCCUCGGGACGCCGGACCGGCGGUCGUCGGCGCCACGACCACCAGCCCUCUCGGUCAGCAGGCUGUCUGAAGCCCGCCUAGAUGGCGCCGGUUAGAGUGAGUUAUCCUACGGAAUACCCCGCUUGGACAGAACCAGCGUGGGUCGAGGAAAUUACUGCUGGUAGGGCUUUUUGUGAGUAUGAUGUUCUACGGUGUUUCCCGAAUACUAUGACUUGUCAUUGCUGAUGACUUAAACCAAUGGUGACUAGCUACCAUAAGGUAGGACGUAAACUCGUUUGCCUUCAAAAUAAAAUAAAAAAGCACCUACCAAACUGUUCCGGCCUCGACAUGCUUACUAAACUGCAAUGCGUUGUUAAGGUUUGUAGUGAAGAUUCCAGCUGCAAGACCGUAAUUUGUAUUGUUGGCGCGAUCGAUCACUUCUUCCAACGUAUCGAACUUUAGAAUGCUCUGGACUGGACCGAAAAUCUGUCAAAUAUCAAAAAUAUGUAAAAAACAUGAGAAUAACAAGAUAAAAUCGCUUUGUAAAUUUGCCAAUUUCAUAGGAGAGUUUCAGCCAGAACUAUUUUUUUUUAUUGCCUUUGUAGGCAGACGAGCGUACGGCCCACCUGGUGGUAAGUGGUCACCGUCGCUCAUGGACGUCAGCAAUGCCUGGGGCAGAGCCAAGCCGCUGCCUACUUAGAUAGUACGUGGCAAAAAUCCCGUGCAAAUGCACUGAAGCAGAAACUCAGCAUUUUCAUGUCAGUACAUCCAUACUGUCGUUUCGUACAGCUAGACACUAAACCGGUAAUGAGGGUACGAGCAACGGAGAUGAAAAUAUCAUCACAAAAAAAUAUUGUAUCAUUCAUUCCACAUUCAUAUAAAUACACAAAGAGAACCAAAAUCCUCAAAUAGACACAAAGGUUACAAAACGAUCCGUAAUAUUAAGAUAAUCGAAAGUCUGAAGCGCCUUUUUCUGCGUGGAGUAAAUUUGACGUAUAAAAGUAAUACCUAUUUUAAAAAACAAAAUGGCUUUUUUUCCCUACCUAUCCUAGUAGCCUCGUGGGGUUAUACUAGGUUCAUCUAACGUCUAUGCGAGCUCACGAGGCUCGGCCUGGUGAAUUUGCUAACUAGCCCUAGCAAGGGCAGUACUUGGCUGAAUCGCAUCGGAAUCGGGUCGGAGUCGGACAUCGGGUCGGAAUCGCGACCCACUAAGAAGAUCCGACGAGAAACUCAGUGGGCUAAUCUUGACAGUAAAAGACUAUCAACUAUAGACGUGAACUUUUUGGUAUACUGAAGAAUCCUUAUUGAUAAAGAAUGUCUUACUAAAUUCCUGAUUCUAAAUCAUUUCUUACUCUAAUGAUUAGCUUAUCAAAUGAUGUUAAAAAUACCUCUUCCUUAGCAAUAGUCAUAUCAUCAUUAACAUCUGCAAACACAGUAGGCUGGAUAUAAUAUCCGGCGGUACCAAUACGUUCUCCACCUGCCAGUAGGUUCGCUCCUUCUUUUUUUCCGGUCUCUAUUAAGCCCAAAACUUUAU
Long non-coding RNA from Bombyx mori (domestic silkworm), 1780 nucleotides. RefSeq lists it as uncharacterized. Lineage: Eukaryota; Metazoa; Arthropoda; Insecta; Lepidoptera; Bombycidae. The record is from RefSeq and is a predicted model, not a curated record. The transcript has 2 exons.